RNAcentral lists this ribosomal RNA (378 nucleotides) under uncultured bacterium. RNAcentral describes it as "partial 16S ribosomal RNA". It matches the Rfam family "Bacterial small subunit ribosomal RNA", at positions 338 to 713 of the family's 1533-position model. The record is from RNAcentral.
CCUACGGGGGGCAGCAGUGAGGAAUAUUGGUCAAUGGACGAGAGUCUGAACCAGCCAAGUAGCGUGAAGGAUGACUGCCCUAUGGGUUGUAAACUUCUUUUAUAUGGGAAUAAAAUGUUCCACGUGUGGGAUUUUGUAUGUACUAUAUGAAUAAGGAUCGGCUAACUCCGUGCCAGCAGCCGCGGUAAUACGGAGGAUCCGAGCGUUAUCCGGAUUUAUUGGGUUUAAAGGGAGCGUAGGUGGAUUGUUAAGUCAGUUGUGAAAGUUUGCGGCUCAACCGUAAAAUUGCAGUUGAAACUGGCGGUCUUGAGAACAGUAGGGGUGGACGGAAUUGGGGGUGUAGCGGUGAAAUGCUUGGAUAUAACGAAGAACUCCAAU